CAAUAACAUUCCUCAUCGUCGCAAUAGUUUCACGCAGUAAGAAUUUUCUUCUCGCUCCUAAUGGAGUUUGGACGAGUUAAUCAGUCCGGCUUUUCUUCCUCAAGUUUCCGUAACAUACAAGUGGCUUUUUACAAGGUUGACUUGUCAGGUCGACACUCAACCCCUAUUAGUCGCCUUUUACGAGAAGCGAGGGAUACUAUGGAAUCGGUGAAUUUGCAGGGAAGUAGAGCACUACCACCGUUUUGUGCAAGGACAUCGGUUACGAAUUCUCCACGUCUGAUAACAUCUCUCGUAUCAUCCUCGUCACUUUUUUCAUUUUGCGAAGAGCUC
This is a long non-coding RNA of Vespa mandarinia (Asian giant hornet), 330 nucleotides long. Lineage: Eukaryota; Metazoa; Arthropoda; Insecta; Hymenoptera; Vespidae. The record is from RefSeq and is a predicted model, not a curated record.